GGUGGGACCGCGACGGGUCUCCCGGACGAGCACGCCGUACCCGGACAGCGACAAGACGGUGUCCC
This 65-nucleotide non-coding RNA is filed under the name Modestobacter marinus. Lineage: Bacteria; Bacillati; Actinomycetota; Actinomycetes; Geodermatophilales; Geodermatophilaceae. The record is from RNAcentral.